This 460-nucleotide ribosomal RNA is filed under the name uncultured bacterium. Its description in RNAcentral is "partial 16S ribosomal RNA". It matches the Rfam family "Bacterial small subunit ribosomal RNA", at positions 338 to 795 of the family's 1533-position model. The record is from RNAcentral.
CCUACGGGUGGCAGCAGUGAGGAAUAUUGGUCAAUGGACGAGAGUCUGAACCAGCCAAGUAGCGUGAAGGAUGACUGCCCUAUGGGUUGUAAACUUCUUUUAUAAAGGAAUAAAACGAGGCACGUGUGCCUGUUUGCAUGGACUUUAUGAAUAAGGAACGGCUAAAUCCUUGCCAGCAGCCGCGGUAAUACUGAGGAUUCGAGCGUUAUCCGGAUUUAUUUGGUUUAAAGGGAGCGUAGAUGGGUUGUUAAGUCAGUCGUGAAAGUUUGCGGCUCAAACGUAAAAUUGCAAUUGAUACUGGCAGUCUUGAGUACAGUUGAGGUAGGCGGAAUGCGUGGUGUAGCGGUGAAAUGCUUAGAUAUCACGAAGAACCCCGAUUGCGAAGGCAGCUUACUAACCUGUGACUGACAUUGAUGCUCGAAAGUGUGGGUAUCAAACAGGAUUAGAUACCCCUGUAGUC